AAAUUCUAAUUCAUUCUCUUCCUCCCCCCUCUCAAAGCCGCCUCUCCCAUCAUCUUCGCUCCUCUCUCUUCAGCCGUCUUCCCCCUCCCCCUGUUUUCUCAGCGAGCCUCCCCUCUCUCCUUUUUCCGACCAGCCGUCCUCCUCCCCUCUCCUCUCUCUUCAGUCGCCGGACCCCGUCUCUCGCCUCUCCACCAGCAGACCGACGAGAGCUCUGGCGAAGGCUGCUCCAACUAAUGCUUUCUCUCCUCCCCAUUUCCCUCUCCCCCGCUCUCUUUAGCUCUCCUCAUUUUUCUCUUCUCCUCUCUCCCCCUCCCGUCUCUUCUCUCCCCCUUCUUCUUCUCUUUUCUCUUUUUAUUUUUUUUAUGAAGGGAUGCAAUAGCAACACCAGCAUCCACGACGAGCAACUGCUCCGGCCAGCAUGAACAAGCAACCCGUCAUUCUCCGGCAAUGACCAACAGGCAGCAGCCCGCGAAGCAGCAGCAACCAGCGCCUCCCACCGGCCAGCCAUCUCUGUCGGAAACUCAACAUUAACAACAAUCAAUCUCCACUCCAGUAAGUUGGAUCUAGAAUUAAAAAUCAAGGCAUUAUUAUAAGGACAGAUCUAUCCCAGGUUUCAAACUUGAAGUUCAAGUUGAAGAUUAAUUGAAGAAAGAUUUAUUUGUUUAUUUGAAUGUAUAUGUAUUUAUUUAUUUUUUCUCCUAUUUUAUUUAUUCGAAUGUUGUAACAAUUGUAACUCUAAAGAUCAUAUAAUAAAUUCAUUUGGGGGAGUCGUCUAGGGGAGGGGGAUUUAUAUGCCUAGUUGUUCAUUAUAAAUUUUUAGAAAUCAUGCCUAUAGGUUUGCCUUUAACCACCUAGAACUAUUGUUUGUAGGUGUUAUAAUCCAAUCAAUUGUUUGAUGCUUUGUUAAUAAGUCUAAAAAAUAUUAAACUAGAUUCCGUUAAUUUUAAAAUAAAAUCAUAAUAGGCUGAUAGGUGUUUUAUCAAUGUUAUAAUUUUAGCAUCAUCUUGUCAUGUAGAAACCAUGUCUAAGGUUUAAUUUGUUCAUAACAUUUAAAUUUACAAAAUUAUGCAUAUAUGUGUUACUUUUUUUUUGAACACCUAGAAAUCAUGUCUAUAGGCUUGUAAAUAAACUCUUAACAUAUUCGUAAAAAUAAAAUUUGUUUGUGCAUAUUUGUGUCCUUCCCCCAAAAUUGGUUGAUAUUAAUUCUAUUUGUCUUCCUCAUUCAUGAUGCAAUAUGUUUUUUAAAAAAAAAAUAAAUUAGAAUCAUUUCACGCAUUUAGCAAAUUACUUGGCUUUCAAAAAAAAUUAUUUCAUAUCAAAACCUUGCAACAUAAUUUUCUUAAAAAGUCAUUAUUCAAUCUUUCUUUAAAACUUUGGAUUGAUUAUGACAUUGUUUAUUUUUAAAAAAAAUUAUAAGCACUAUCUCCUAACCUAUCAUUAGUGGGAAAGUCAAAGGAACUACGAGGUCUAGUUCCAACUUUUUAAACCCGACGCGUCCCCGGAAGUACCACCUACCCAUGAAUUUCAAAAGAAAUUAUAUGCAUUUAUAUGUAAAUGUUUAUAUGCCUACGUGUAAACUAAAUCA
Solanum lycopersicum (tomato) is the source of this 1585-nucleotide long non-coding RNA. RefSeq lists it as uncharacterized. The record is from RefSeq and is a predicted model, not a curated record. Lineage: Eukaryota; Viridiplantae; Streptophyta; Magnoliopsida; Solanales; Solanaceae.